GACGAACGCUGGCGGCGUGCUUAACACAUGCAAGUCGAGCGGUAAGGCCCCUUCGGGGGUACACGAGCGGCGAACGGGUGAGUAACACGUGAGCAAUCUGCCCAUCACAUCGGGAUAACUCCGGGAAACCGAGGCUAAUACCGAAUACGACCACCUCCGGCAUCGGAUGGUGGUGGAAAGUUCCGGCGGUGAUGGAUGAGCUCGCGGCCUAUCAGCUUGCUGGUGGGGUAACGGCCCACCAAGGCUUCGACGGGUAGCCGGCCUGAGAGGGUGACCGGCCACACUGGGACUGAGACACGGCCCAGACUCCUACGGGAGGCAGCAGUGGGGAAUAUUGGACAAUGGGCGAAAGCCUGAUCCAGCAACGCCGCGUGAGGGAUGACGGCCUUCGGGUUGUAAACCUCUUUCAGCAGGGACGAAGCGCAAGUGACGGUACCUGCAGAAGAAGCACCGGCCAACUACGUG
RNAcentral lists this ribosomal RNA (465 nucleotides) under uncultured bacterium. RNAcentral's name for it is "partial 16S ribosomal RNA". It matches the Rfam family "Bacterial small subunit ribosomal RNA", at positions 28 to 507 of the family's 1533-position model. The record is from RNAcentral.